UGAGUCACGCCUCUCCUCCAACUCGGGAUUUAAAUCUGUUGGGAAGGCAGUAUAUGGAGGAUGAGAAGUCAAGAACCGGGGCCUGCUUCCGACCCGCUCGCUGGCUGUGUGACCUGGAGAGACGCGCCCUCCUGCUUAGCUGCCUGAGUCUCACUGCAGUUGGUGGGGUAGAGGCUGUGCUGUAUGGGCUUUCUAGCUCCUUCCAUAGGUGUAUACUCUGAAUGAACAGCCAGUGACUUGUCAGCGGCCAGAGGAAGAUGUGAUGGGAGAGAGAAGGUGGUGAGCUUGGAAGAGACAGACACAUUCCUUCAGGAAAGCUCCCAUAGGAUUCACUUUUGGUUCUCUCACCUGGCCUCUCCCACCGAAGGCAUGAUACAUAUUUAUUGAAUGUAUUGGCACAAGUUGUUUAUAAAACCUUCGCUUGGAUUGUAGUUAGUUCCUCCUCACUCAAGCACUUCCCCUCCCUUCCCCCUCCAAGCCCACCUACUCUGGAAGCCUCCAAGAUCGGCCCAUCGGCGUUUGUCCUGAAACACACAGAAGGAUUUCUGCGCUAGAUACUGACUUUUUGGUAUUUCCUGCUGGAGCUCUGUCUGGGUGGAGUUGCCGCUGAAGUGCCAGAGUUUUCCUGUUUGUGCAGUUGAUUUUCAAAACCUUAAAUAAACUCUGUUGUGAUGUGUUCAGAAUCGUAACAACUCAACAGCUGUUUAUUGAGCACCUACUACGAGCCCGGCCCUGUUCCAGGGGCUGAGUGGAUGGUGGUGACCUCAGAAGACACCCCGUUCAGCGAGCUCUCAGUCAGGUCCAGGACACUGAUUAGUAAACAGGCACUUGCCCUCCACGUGGUGAGGGCCGUGAAGGAUAAAGUCCAGGGUGCUGGGAUGAGAGGUGGGGGUGGGGGCAAAUAGCAGGGGCAGCGAACCCAGGCUCAGGCCUGGCAAGGCUUGGGGUCGGGGGUGUGGAUGUGCCAACAGAGAACCAAAUCCCACUAAAACCAAACCCCCAAAACAUGAGAAACUAAAGUUUGUAGAAUCUGUUCUCAUUUAUCUGCAAGUCAAUGACUCCCCUUCCUUUGCAAGGAAACUUUUC
Mustela erminea (ermine) is the source of this 1086-nucleotide long non-coding RNA. RefSeq lists it as uncharacterized. The transcript has 3 exons. The record is from RefSeq and is a predicted model, not a curated record. Lineage: Eukaryota; Metazoa; Chordata; Mammalia; Carnivora; Mustelidae.